Small nuclear RNA from Megalobrama amblycephala (Wuchang bream), 166 nucleotides. RefSeq annotates it as U1 spliceosomal RNA. The transcript has a single exon. The record is from RefSeq and is a predicted model, not a curated record. NCBI's taxonomy places the organism in Eukaryota, Metazoa, Chordata, Actinopteri, Cypriniformes, Xenocyprididae.
AUACUUACAGGGGCAAGGGAAGCCACCAUGAUCAGGAAGGUGGUUUACUCAGGGUGAGGCUCGGCCAUUGCACUCCGGUUGUGCUGAGUCCUGCGAAUUCCCUGAAUGUGGGAAUCUCGGGUACAUAAUUUAUAGUAAUGGAGGACUGCAUUCAUGCUCUCCCCUG